ACGGAAGGCAGCAGUGGGGAAUAUUGCGCAAUGGGGGGAACCCUGACGCAGCAACGCCGCGUGAGUGAAGAAGUAUUUCGGUAUGGAAAGCUCUAUCAGCGGGGACGAAGAUGACGGUACCCGCAGAAGAAGGCCCGGCUAACUACGUGCCAGCAGCCGCGGUAAUACGUAGGGGACAAGCGUUAUCCGGAUUUACUGGGUGUAAAGGGAGCGUAGGCGGCCAGACAAGUCAGAAGUGAAAGCCCGCGGCUCAACUGCGGGACUGCUUUUGAAACUGCCAGGCUAGAGUACUGGAGGGGCAAGCGGAAUUCCUGGUGUAGCGGUGAAAUGCGUAGAUAUCAGGAAGAACACCGGUGGCGAAGGCGGCUUGCUGGACAGAGACUGACGCUGAGGCUCGAAGGCGUGGGGAGCAAACAGGAUUAGAUACCCUGGUA
Molecule: ribosomal RNA, 434 nt
Filed under: uncultured Lachnospiraceae bacterium
Lineage: Bacteria; Bacillati; Bacillota; Clostridia; Lachnospirales; Lachnospiraceae
Description: bacterial SSU rRNA
Rfam family: Bacterial small subunit ribosomal RNA
Source: RNAcentral